CCAGGAUGUUGGCUUAGAAGCAGCCAUCAUUUAAAGAAAGCGUAAUAGCUCACUGGUCGAGUCGGCCUGCGCGGAAGAUGUAACGGGGCUAAACCAUGCACCGAAGCUGCGGCAGCGACGCUUAUGCGUUGUUGGGUAGGGGAGCGUUCUGUAAGCCUGCGAAGGUGGCCUGUGAGGGUUGCUGGAGGUAUCAGAAGUGCGAAUGCUGACAUAAGUAACGAUAAAGCGGGUGAAAAGCCCGCUCGCCGGAAGACCAAGGGUUCCUGUCCAACGUUAAUCGGGGCAGGGUGAGUCGACCCCUAAGGCGAGGCCGAAAGGCGUAGUCGAUGGGAAACGGGUUAAUAUUCCCGUACUUGGUGUUACUGCGAAGGGGGGACGGAGAAGGCUAUGUUGGCCGGGCGACGGUUGUCCCGGUUUAAGCGUGUAGGUGUGUGUUCCAGGUAAAUCCGGUUCACUUUAACACUGAGGCGUGACGACGAGGCACUACGGUGCUGAAGCAACAAAUGCCCUGCUUCCAGGAAAAGCCUCUAAGCAUCAGGUAACAUCAAAUCGUACCCCAAACCGACACAGGUGGUCAGGUAGAGAAUACCAAGGCGCUUGAGAGAACUCGGGUGAAGGAACUAGGCAAAAUGGUGCCGUAACUUCGGGAGAAGGCACGCUGACACGUAGGUGAAGUGAUUUACUCAUGGAGCUGAAGUCAGUCGAAGAUACCAGCUGGCUGCAACUGUUUAUUAAAAACACAGCACUGUGCAAACACGAAAGUGGACGUAUACGGUGUGACGCCUGCCCGGUGCCGGAAGGUUAAUUGAUGGGGUCAGCGCAAGCGAAGCUCCUGAUCGAAGCCCCGGUAAACGGCGGCCGUAACUAUAACGGUCCUAAGGUAGCGAAAUUCCUUGUCGGGUAAGUUCCGACCUGCACGAAUGGCGUAAUGAUGGCCAGGCUGUCUCCACCCGAGACUCAGUGAAAUUGAACUCGCUGUGAAGAUGCAGUGUACCCGCGGCAAGACGGAAAGACCCCGUGAACCUUUACUAUAGCUUGACACUGAACAUUGAGCCUUGAUGUGUAGGAUAGGUGGGAGGCUUUGAAGUGUGGACGCCAGUCUGCAUGGAGCCGACCUUGAAAUACCACCCUUUAAUGUUUGAUGUUCUAACGUGGACCCGUUACCCGGGUUGCGGACAGUGUCUGGUGGGUAGUUUGACUGGGGCGGUCUCCUCCUAAAGAGUAACGGAGGAGCACGAAGGUUGGCUAAUCCUGGUCGGACAUCAGGAGGUUAGUGCAAUGGCAUAAGCCAGCUUGACUGCGAGCGUGACGGCGCGAGCAGGUGCGAAAGCAGGUCAUAGUGAUCCGGUGGUUCUGAAUGGAAGGGCCAUCGCUCAACGGAUAAAAGGUACUCCGGGGAUAACAGGCUGAUACCGCCCAAGAGUUCAUAUCGACGGCGGUGUUUGGCACCUCGAUGUCGGCUCAUCACAUCCUGGGGCUGAAGUAGGUCCCAAGGGUAUGGCUGUUCGCCAUUUAAAGUGGUACGCGAGCUGGGUUUAGAACGUCGUGAGACAGUUCGGUCCCUAUCUGCCGUGGGCGCUGGAGAACUGAGGGGGGCUGCUCCUAGUACGAGAGGACCGGAGUGGACGCAUCACUGGUGUUCGGGUUGUCAUGCCAAUGGCACUGCCCGGUAGCUAAAUGCGGAAGAGAUAAGUGCUGAAAGCAUCUAAGCACGAAACUUGCCCCGAG
Molecule: ribosomal RNA, 1728 nt
Filed under: Salmonella enterica
Lineage: Bacteria; Pseudomonadati; Pseudomonadota; Gammaproteobacteria; Enterobacterales; Enterobacteriaceae
Description: partial 23S ribosomal RNA
Rfam family: Bacterial large subunit ribosomal RNA
Source: RNAcentral